CAGCCGCCGCGGUAAUACGUAGGUCCCGAGCGUUGUCCGGAUUUAUUGGGCGUAAAGCGAGCGCAGGCGGUUAGAUAAGUCUGAAGUUAAAGGCUGUGGCUUAACCAUAGUACGCUUUGGAAACUGUUUAACUCGAGUGCAAGAGGGGAGAGUGGAAUUCCAUGUGUAGCGGUGAAAUGCGUAGAUAUAUGGAGGAACACCGGUGGCGAAAGCGGCUCUCUGGCUUGUAACUGACGCUGAGGCUCAAAAGCGUGGGGAGCAAACAGGAUUAGAUACCCCCGUAGUCCCUGUCUCUUAUACC
Molecule: ribosomal RNA, 301 nt
Filed under: uncultured bacterium
Lineage: Bacteria
Description: partial 16S ribosomal RNA
Rfam family: Bacterial small subunit ribosomal RNA
Source: RNAcentral